UACGGAGGGGGCGAGCGUUAUUCGGAAUUAUUGGGCGUAAAGGGCGCGUAGGCGGCUGUACAAGUCAAAGGUGGAAUCCCUCGGCUCAACUGAGGAACUGCCUUUGAAACUGUACGGCCUGAGGCCGGGAGGGGGUAGCGGAAUUCCCAGUGUAGCGGUGAAAUGCGUAGAUACUGGGAGGAACACCAGUGGCGAAGGCGGCUACCUGGACCGGUUCUGACGCUGAGGCGCGAAAGCGUGGGUAGCAAACAGG
This 253-nucleotide ribosomal RNA is filed under the name uncultured bacterium. Its description in RNAcentral is "partial 16S ribosomal RNA". It matches the Rfam family "Bacterial small subunit ribosomal RNA", at positions 524 to 776 of the family's 1533-position model. The record is from RNAcentral.